CGGGACACGUGGUAUCCUGUCUGAAUAUGGGGGGACCAUCCUCCAAGGCUAAAUACUCCUGACUGACCGAUAGUGAACCAGUACCGUGAGGGAAAGGCGAAAAGAACCCCGGCGAGGGGAGUGAAAAAGAACCUGAAACCGUGUACGUACAAGCAGUGGGAGCACGCUUAGGCGUGUGACUGCGUACCUUUUGUAUAAUGGGUCAGCGACUUAUAUUCUGUAGCAAGGUUAACCGAAUAGGGGAGCCGAAGGGAAACCGAGUCUUAACUGGGCGUUAAGUUGCAGGGUAUAGACCCGAAACCCGGUGAUCUAGCCAUGGGCAGGUUGAAGGUUGGGUAACACUAACUGGAGGACCGAACCGACUAAUGUUGAAAAAUUAGCGGAUGACUUGUGGCUGGGGGUGAAAGGCCAAUCAAACCGGGAGAUAGCUGGUUCUCCCCGAAAGCUAUUUAGGUAGCGCCUCGUGAAUUCAUCUCCGGGGGUAGAGCACUGUUUCGGCAAGGGGGUCAUCCCGACUUACCAACCCGAUGCAAACUGCGAAUACCGGAGAAUGUUAUCACGGGAGACACACGGCGGGUGCUAACGUCCGUCGUGAAGAGGGAAACAACCCAGACCGCCAGCUAAGGUCCCAAAGUCAUGGUUAAGUGGGAAACGAUGUGGGAAGGCCCAGACAGCCAGGAUGUUGGCUUAGAAGCAGCCAUCAUUUAAAGAAAGCGUAAUAGCUCACUGGUCGAGUCGGCCUGCGCGGAAGAUGUAACGGGGCUAAACCAUGCACCGAAGCUGCGGCAGCGACGCUUAUGCGUUGUUGGGUAGGGGAGCGUUCUGUAAGCCUGCGAAGGUGUGCUGUGAGGCAUGCUGGAGGUAUCAGAAGUGCGAAUGCUGACAUAAGUAACGAUAAAGCGGGUGAAAAGCCCGCUCGCCGGAAGACCAAGGGUUCCUGUCCAACGUUAAUCGGGGCAGGGUGAGUCGACCCCUAAGGCGAGGCCGAAAGGCGUAGUCGAUGGGAAACAGGUUAAUAUUCCUGUACUUGGUGUUACUGCGAAGGGGGGACGGAGAAGGCUAUGUUGGCCGGGCGACGGUUG
This 1082-nucleotide ribosomal RNA is filed under the name Escherichia coli. RNAcentral describes it as "partial 23S ribosomal RNA". It matches the Rfam family "Bacterial large subunit ribosomal RNA", at positions 418 to 1504 of the family's 2925-position model. Lineage: Bacteria; Pseudomonadati; Pseudomonadota; Gammaproteobacteria; Enterobacterales; Enterobacteriaceae. The record is from RNAcentral.